UACGGAAGGCAGCAGUGGGGAAUAUUGCACAAUGGGCGCAAGCCUGAUGCAGCCAUGCCGCGUGUAUGAAGAAGGCCUUCGGGUUGUAAAGUACUUUCAGCGGGGAGGAAGGCGAUGCGGUUAAUAACCGCGUCGAUUGACGUUACCCGCAGAAGAAGCACCGGCUAACUCCGUGCCAGCAGCCGCGGUAAUACGGAGGGUGCAAGCGUUAAUCGGAAUUACUGGGCGUAAAGCGCACGCAGGCGGUCUGUUAAGUCAGAUGUGAAAUCCCCGGGCUUAACCUGGGAACUGCAUUUGAAACUGGCAGGCUUGAGUCUGUAGAGGGGGUAGAAUUCCAGGUGUAGCGGUGAAAUGCGUAGAGAUCUGGAGGAAUACCGGUGGCGAAGGCGGCCCCUGGGACAAAGCUGACGCUCAGGUGCGAAAGCGUGGGGAGCAAACAGGGAUUAGAUACC
This 452-nucleotide ribosomal RNA is filed under the name uncultured bacterium. RNAcentral's name for it is "bacterial SSU rRNA". It matches the Rfam family "Bacterial small subunit ribosomal RNA", at positions 340 to 786 of the family's 1533-position model. The record is from RNAcentral.